Molecule: ribosomal RNA, 397 nt
Filed under: uncultured bacterium
Lineage: Bacteria
Description: partial 16S ribosomal RNA
Rfam family: Bacterial small subunit ribosomal RNA
Source: RNAcentral
AUACGUAGGGGGCGAGCGUUGUCCGGAAUGAUUGGGCGUAAAGGGCGCGUAGGCGGCCCGGUAAGUCUGGAGUGAAAGUCCUGUUUUUAAGAUGGGAAUUGCUUUGGAUACUGUCGGGCUUGAGUGCAGGAGAGGGAAGUGGAAUUCCCAGUGUAGCGGUGAAAUGCGUAGAGAUUGGGAGGAACACCAGUGGCGAAGGCGACUUACUGGACUGUAACUGACGCUGAGGCGCGAAAGUGUGGGGAGCAAACAGGAUUAGAUACCCUGGUAGUCCACACUGUAAACGAUGAAUGCUAGGUGUAGGGGGUAUCGACCCCUUCUGUGCCGCAGUCAACACAAUAAGCAUUCCGCCUGGGGAGUACGGCCGCAAGGUUGAAACUCAAAUGAAUGGACGGGG